CCUACGGGCGGCAGCAGUGAGGAAUAUUGGUCAAUGGACGCGAGUCUGAACCAGCCAAGUAGCGUGAAGGAUGACUGCCCUAUGGGUUGUAAACUUCUUUUAUAAAGGAAUAAAACGAGGCACGUGUGCCUUUUUGCAAGUACCUUAUGAAUAAGGAUCGGCUAACUCCGUGCCAGCAGCCGCGGUAAUACGGAGGAUCCGAGCGUUAUCCGGAUUUAUUGGGUUUAAAGGGUGCGUAGAUGGGUUGUUAAGUUAGUGGUGAAAGUUUGCGGCUCAACCGUAAAAUUGCCAUUGAUACUGGCAGUCUUGAGUACAGUUGAGGUAGGCGGAAUGCGUGGUGUAGCGGUGAAAUGCUUAGAGAUCACGAAGAACCCCGAUUGCGAAGGCAGCUUACUAAACUGUGACUGACAUUGAUGCACGAAAGUGUGGGUAGCAAACAGGAUUAGAUACCCUUGUAGUC
Molecule: ribosomal RNA, 460 nt
Filed under: uncultured bacterium
Lineage: Bacteria
Description: partial 16S ribosomal RNA
Rfam family: Bacterial small subunit ribosomal RNA
Source: RNAcentral